UCCGACUCUGUGAGACCCCAGAGAUGGCAGCCCACCAGGCUCCGCCGUCCCUGGGAUUCUCCAGGCAAGAUAGACUCAGCUAAUACCAUGGGCUGAGGGGACGCAGGUUCAAUCCCUGGUCCGGGAGGAUUCCACGUGCCGUGGAGCACCUAAGCCCGUGAGCCACAGCUACUGAGCCCGUCCAGCGGCAGCUACUGAAGACCAUGCACCUGGACCCUGUGCUCCACACGAGGAGAAGCCGCUGCAAGGGGAAGCCUGCAGACCACAGUGGAGAGUGGCCGCUAGAGAACUAGGGAGAAGCCCAUGAGCAGCAAUGAAGACCCAGCACAACCAAAAAUAAAAUAAAUUUAAUUUAAAAUAU
This is a long non-coding RNA of Capra hircus (goat), 361 nucleotides long. RefSeq lists it as uncharacterized. Lineage: Eukaryota; Metazoa; Chordata; Mammalia; Artiodactyla; Bovidae. The transcript has 2 exons. The record is from RefSeq and is a predicted model, not a curated record.